GACUCUCGGCAACGGAUAUCUCAGCUCUCGCAUCGAUGAAGAAUGUAGCGAAAUGCGAUACUUGGUGUGAAUUGCAGAAUCCCAUGAACCAUCGAGUCUUUGAACGCAAGUUACGCCCGAAGCCGUCAGGCCGAGGGCACGCCUGCCUGGGCGUCACAC
RNAcentral lists this ribosomal RNA (159 nucleotides) under Pourthiaea pilosicalyx. RNAcentral's name for it is "5.8S ribosomal RNA". It matches the Rfam family "5.8S ribosomal RNA". Rfam says of the family: 5.8S ribosomal RNA (5.8S rRNA) is a component of the large subunit of the eukaryotic ribosome. The record is from RNAcentral. Lineage: Eukaryota; Viridiplantae; Streptophyta; Magnoliopsida; Rosales; Rosaceae.